Homo sapiens (human) is the source of this 935-nucleotide long non-coding RNA. Ensembl annotates it as long intergenic non-protein coding RNA 2028. Lineage: Eukaryota; Metazoa; Chordata; Mammalia; Primates; Hominidae. The record is from Ensembl.
AUCUUUGGCUAGGCCUUUGGUAUUUCAAGGCGCUGCCGGUGGGGAGAGAUGCCGCGUGCCUGAGAGGCUCUGGGAGAUGUUAUGUGGUCAACAGGGACUGAGGCUCUUUAAGCCCUUAAAUCUCUAAGGGCUAAAUCUCCUUCCUGAUAUUCGCCCCCAAACCGGCACCAAAGAAGGCCCAGAGAGGUUUAACAACUUCCUCAGAAUCACACAGCUUCCAAAUGGUUGGGUUGGGUUUACAUUUAGGCGGUCUUGCUCCAGAGCCAGUGCUCCUAACCUUUGCAAGCCACGAACCUCAAGAAAGUGGAGAAGGAAACGCUGGGAAAUCUGGAAGUCAGACAUGAGAGCUAAUGCUGGCAGCUGUUGGGAUGUCCUCUUCCAGGAAUGGUGAUGAGUUUCCCUGGAUCCAGCCCUGGCUUGGCUGAGACUCCAGCCCCUACAAUGCAGAGGAAAGAAGCCCUCCCUCACCAUGCCUGCUAUUUCCUUACACCUCCAAGAACCAGUCAUCCUCUCAUUCAUGAGACGCAAUAUGAAGUUGUCCUUAAGCCAGAAGGAUUUGAAUUUCAACUCUGCCCCAGCACUUAGCAAAUGGUCACAGAAGAAGUACUUAAUCAUGCCUCCAGGAAGCCCACCCUAACUGCCUGAGGCAGUUACCUCCCUCUCUCUGUCCUGCCUUCACAGAGGCCUGCAUGCCUCCCAGGCAGAGAACUUGUCAUUUGUGAGAGCUGCGCCCUAUCUGAGACCCUGUGAUGCGUGCCAUGCCUAGCCCGGCCCUGACACAUGGUAGAUCCUAAUAUGAAGCUGUGGAGGGAGUGAAUGGCCUGCAGCACUGCACGGAGGACCUCUUUGUGGCACGGCCACCAACGCGUGUUGGGUGACUGACCACAGAGACUCCUUUACUCCUUCGUUUCCCAGAAAUAAAAUGGACAACUGGC